RNAcentral lists this ribosomal RNA (468 nucleotides) under uncultured bacterium. RNAcentral's name for it is "partial 16S ribosomal RNA". It matches the Rfam family "Bacterial small subunit ribosomal RNA", at positions 28 to 507 of the family's 1533-position model. The record is from RNAcentral.
GACGAACGCUGGCGGCGUGCUUAACACAUGCAAGUCGAACGGAAAGGCCCUGCUUUUGUGGGGUGCUCGAGUGGCGAACGGGUGAGUAACACGUGAGUAACCUGCCCUUGACUUUGGGAUAACUUCAGGAAACUGGGGCUAAUACCGGAUAGGAGCUCCUGCUGCAUGGUGGGGGUUGGAAAGUUUCGGCGGUUGGGGAUGGACUCGCGGCUUAUCAGCUUGUUGGUGGGGUAGUGGCUUACCAAGGCUUUGACGGGUAGCCGGCCUGAGAGGGUGACCGGCCACAUUGGGACUGAGAUACGGCCCAGACUCCUACGGGAGGCAGCAGUGGGGAAUAUUGCACAAUGGGCGGAAGCCUGAUGCAGCAACGCCGCGUGCGGGAUGACGGCCUUCGGGCUGUAAACCGCUUUCGCCUGUGACGAAGCGUGAGUGACGAUAAUGGGUAAAGAAGCACCGGCUAACUACGUG